AAUAUAUGUAUAGAUUAUUACAUGGCAUUUUUCAUAUCAUACCCUUUAUCGGCCCUAGGUCAUGAUAUCAGCCCAAGAGCCGCAUCAUACCCUUUAUCGGCCCUAGGUCAUGAUAUCAGCCCAAGAGCCGCAGGCUCGAGGGAUGAUAUCAUGACCGAGGGCCGAUAAAGGGUAUGAUAUGAAAAAUGACAUGUAAUUAUCUUUUUAUCAUAUUCUUCAACAGAAGAAAUACAGACAAAAACCAUUAAAAUUUUGUUUUUCUUUGAUAAUUUAUAAUUAACC
RNAcentral lists this long non-coding RNA (282 nucleotides) under Mytilus galloprovincialis (Mediterranean mussel). Lineage: Eukaryota; Metazoa; Mollusca; Bivalvia; Mytilida; Mytilidae. The record is from RNAcentral.